UCACAUCCUAUCCGAGCAUUUUCUCCCGACGUCCUUCAACACUAAGUUCCUUAAAGCAAUUCACCUAGACAUCUUCUCCCACGAACACAAAGUUCAAGAUUAUCACAAGAUCUAAACAUAAACAACACAUGGGGAGUGAGUCAUCAUAUUUCUAACUAAUAGAGAUAAAUAAGACAACAUAUAGAUAUACAUAUCAUAUAAAUGAAAUACAACUUACUUAAACAUGGCUCACGUCAUUCCACCACUUUGUCGCGUAACAUCACAUCACAUCACAACACAACACAUCUCAUUCAUUUUCACAUCAUUCAUGUACUCAAGGAUCUAAACACAAUAUCAAUAAAUCAAUCAAUAUCAAUCAAUAUACAAGCAUUAUGCAACAAAUACACUAAGAUUCAAUCCUAUAUGCAAUGUGGUACCAUGUCAUUGAAAAACCUCGUCGUGCGCCUAGGAGUUCAUGACAAGACAAACCACACACUAAUAAGUCAGGUCACUCUCACUAGGUAAAAUCAUAGGGAGACCAUUUAGGGCCACACUAUUUUGCGAGAAUGCUCCAACCAUGUGGGAUCAACAUAGGCUUAAAGAGCACUUAAACCGGGUGUAUUUACCCCCAAGGCCUAGACUCCAAAGAGUCCAUUAGGGCCUUUCCCUCCUGAUUCAGGUCUAACCCAGGAAACAUUUUAGCACAUAGACUUUAUCUAUGAACUGUACAAAAUACACGACUCAUCAAUUGUUCUUAAAAUAAUUUCAUCUCAUCGCGCUUGUGAUUAAACUCGUCGGAUCCCCACAGUGGUUCCCAUCAUAAUACUCGUUGUGCAUUAACUCGUCACCCUUAAAAUGUCUUAUAAUCACAUGAUUGUAUGAUUCAUAGCUCACAACUUACUUAAACAAGUCAAUACAUACUUAAUUUAUCAUAUACACUCGGUCUCAAUCACAAUGGUAUAAUCCCAAUUUAACAUGUUAUCACACCUCAUGAAUCAUACACACUUUAUCUAUGAACUAUGCAAUACACACAACUACUCAAUUUUUUUCAAAAUCAUUUUAACUCGUGCCUCAAAGUGAUUCAACUCGUCGGGUUCCCACAAUGGAUCUCUUCACAAUACUCGUCGCACAAAAACUCAUCAUCCUUAAAGGGUCUUACAAUUGCAUGAUUACACAAUUCAUAGCUCACAACUCAAUACAUACAACAUCUCAAUACACAUGUAUCUCACCAUUCAUCAUAGGUUCAAUUUGUCACUUACUUACAAUUUGAAUCACCAUUUCUUAAUGUUAAUAUAGAAAUUUAUAUAAAAUGCCUCUCACCCCAUGGGAGUAAAAUCUCUCAAACAAUUCCACACAAUCAUAUUAAAAUCAAUGAAUCAAAAUCAUAGGUCAAAAACACGAAAACACCAAGAGCACUUAAUUUUAUCAACCAAUUCGCAUCCGAACAUCAAUUGGUCCGUGAAACACAAUAAUAUUUUAUUUAUAAUUGUAAGGGAAAAUUAUAAUUCAAUAAACAUCCCAAAAUAAGUCCCAAUUUAAUCUUCUAAGGAUCCCUACAUACGUUCACUCUAACCUCAAUUACGAUAAACUCAUCCCUUACCUUUAAGUGGGCCCAUGGGUAUAGUCAGAUAAUAACAGUGACAUCUCUAGUGAUUCUGUGAGACUCCUCAAGUUUUUUCUUUGAUUGUUUUGCUAGAAUUUCCAAGCGUCACAGAGAAGAAGAAGAAGAGAUUGUAACCUCCAAUUCACUGUCAAAGUGCGAGACUAAUUUAUCUCUGCAAGAACAUUAUUUCGCAAAUCCCAACGAUGUGUAUGUUAAAAAUUAAGUUUCCAAGGUGAUUUUAAAGUUUUACAACCAUCCAACGGUUAAUGAGCUUGGGAUUAUAUUUUUACUGUGACAGGUUUGGGUGUAUGCGGGAAAAGAGAAAGAUCAGUGCGAGGGAUAUUUCUUCCACCAUGUAAAUUAUCUUAAAAUCCCAACGGUUUAUAUGUGCAGAGAUAAGUUCUGAACCUCGUGUUCAAAUUUCAUGAUAAUCUAACGGUUAAUAAGUCUGAGAUCAUUGGUUUACUGAGACAAAUUUGAUUGUAUGCGGGAAAAAUAAAGUGUUUUGGGAAGGGGAGAAGGAAAAACGAAUUUGAAAUGAAUAACAUUAUGAUAAACUUAUUUAUUUAUUUAUUUGUUUUAUAAAAAGAACUCUAUUUUAUUUCCUAUCAAAUGAAUAAAUAAAAUAUCUUUUUUUAUUUUCUUUCAUACUAUUAUUUUAAUUAAUAAAAUUAUUUCUCCUUAUUUAUUUAAUUAUAAAAACCUCAUGAUUUUUCUAAAAAUAUAUUUGUUUUUAAAUAAAAAAUCCUUUUUAAUUUAUUUUACGAAAAAUGGGGCGUUACAAGAAGUAUAACAUGCUUUGUAGUAAUAUCAUGUGAGCAUAAGAGAACUACAAGACGCCUUAUCGAACCCAACAAAGCUAAUUGUCAUUUGUAAUGAUGAUAGUUGUGCUUGGAGGUGCAAGGAAACAUACAUUCUUGCAAAUAAGAAAGCUUCGUGAAUCCCAUACAUGCUCAAAUCCAUCAAUCUCACAAGAUCAUGCAAAGUUGUCACAUCUACUCAUCAAUAAAAGCAUCCACUCAUUGAUUGAAAAUGAUCCACCAACUUCAAGGGUUUAGCAAAUUACACUUGCACUCCUAUGUCUAUUACUUAUUACACUCAAUCUCACUCACUUUUUUUAUCAUACACAAGACUCCCUUGUUUUUACCAUCCAUUAUAUUGUUACCCCCUGACCCACUAACAUUGUUAGAAAUGUUAACAAAAACUAGGCCACUAUGCCUCUAAAUAAUUUAUUUUCCCUAAAAUACCCUUAUCUUUUUCCUAGAAAACCCUUAUUGCGUGUAAUUGAUUUAGGUCACCAUGUUCUUACUCAGUCGUCUCAUGGAGCAACAAUUGGGUAUGAGGUAGUCACACUGCCGCACCAGCCAUCUUGGUCAGUAAUGAAUUGAGAGAGUCAAAGGGAGAGGACAAGAUGCUAAGGAUGGAAGGGAACCUACGGUCACUACUAAAAAAAACAUUUUUGACAUCGGUUAUUUUGGAAAUUCAACAAUGAUUUUAAACCCAUGUUGAAAUUACUAAUGUUAAAAGUAUCAACAUUAACAUCGAUUAUGAAAAAAUCGAUAUUAAAAUACACAAUACAACAUUGGUUUUUACAAAAACCGAUGUCAUAUAAUAAGAAAUGUAUAAAAAAAAUAACAUCAGUUAUGCAAAAACCAAUGAUGUAAUGCACAUAACAACAUUGGUUUUCAACAAAAUUGAUGUUAACAUACAUUACAUAACAUUGAUUUUUAUGAAAAUUAAUGUUGUACAAUAAGAAAUGUACAAAAAUGCAAAAACAUCAAUUUUGGUUAAAACAGAUGUUGUUAGAUGCAUUACAACAUCAGUGUAUGUUGCAUUACAACAUCGAUUCUCCAGAACCAAUGUUGUUUUUGCAUUUUUCUUUAAUAUGUUGUUUAUUUUGUUAAUUAACUUAAACCUGCAAAUUGAAAUUAGAACCAAUCCAGGCAAUAUAAAUUAUUAUUGAAUAAUUACUAUCAAAUGAAACAAAUACUUAAAGUAACAAAAUAAUAAUCUCAAUACAUAAAAUCAUCUAUGACCUAAGCUAAUUAACAUAAUUCUACAAUUGUAAAAUUCCUUAAAUACCUAAUGUUUCAUUUUUAACUUUUAGAAAAUAAGUUGAAGGGACAUAAGGUAAAACACAGGAAAUAUAGCAUGUGGACUCAUUCAAUUUUUUAAAUGAUAACAGAAACAAUAGAUCUCAGUGAAGCAAGUAUUAAAAAGCAUGAAGAGACAAAUAUCAACAAUUGUUGCCUUAAAUCAACAAGAAGCAAAUCUACAUCAAUUUGGUUUUAAAUGGAAUGGCAGAAAAAAAUUCUAGUAUUGACAUAUGCAUAAUGAGAAGAGGACAACAAUCUCUAAAACGAAAAAUAAAAGGUUUAAUUAUUCUAUCUGAACUUUUUUUUUUCUUUCAAUUGAUUCACUUUUUUUUUCUUUCAAUUGGUUCCUAGAACUUGUCUGUAUUUUUUAAUUAGGUCUUUGUUAGACCUAAUUAAAAAACAAAUAUAGGUUUAAGACCAUUGUGUUCUUUGUUUUUUUAAAAGGAAAUCAGAGUUAGGGUGGGGGUGGGAAGUGCCAUUGUAUUUUCCUAAUUAAUUAAUGAAUCAGGUCAAUAAUAUAUAUAAGGUCUACACAACUCAUAAUGAUAACACAUAUAAAAUGGGAAAAAAAAUUCAAGCAAAGACAUUCAACAGUAUUUCUGGUUCUCGUUCAAUUAAGCAUGUUAACUUCACCUAUUGGCCCACUCCUAAAUGCAGUAGUUGGAGAUUUAAAGCACUCAACUUAGUUAUAAAGUAGAUGUGUCAUCUAUAAUAAUUGGAAAUAUUCAGUUUGUUUUAAAACUUAUUUUCAGGAUGAAAAAGAGAACAAAAUUUUACUUUCCAACCAUAUAUAUAACAGUAAAAAGGAAAAAUAUCAAAGUCAAUAAAAAUUAUAAAUAAAUAAAAUAUUCAAGGUCGUAAUCAUUUUAUUCCAUAUAAUUAAGGUGGUUCAUAUGGCCCUAAUUAAACACGUGUAGGAGUACAAGUAACUUCACACGUACAUAUUCUUGCAACUGAAAGUUAGAUGUAAAAGCAAAAGGCACUAUAGAUUGUUCCUUAUAAUUAGACUAUUGCUAUACAUAAUCAAGUUUUUAAUUUUCGAAAACACAUUAACAUUCAACUAUAUAUUUCAUGUAGGAAUUAGUUAAAAUUAUGGUAAAAAAUAUAUUUAAAGGAAAAAAAUCACAUUUUAUCAUGCUAUACCAACAAUAAUGUGGUUAAGGUGAUGCAGAGGGGUUAAAUUGAGCUAUGAUAACAUAUUCAAGCAUCCAAAUCAAGGACUUAAAACUCAAGAAUGAAAACUCUUGAGCAGAGUAGAAGUCCUAACCAAAGCUUUGCUCUCUUUGAUAUUAAUUGUUGGCAAAUUUUUAUUAUGUUAGCAUGCUAGAAUCUUAAAAUAUGAGAGGACUACUCUCCACAGGCUUGCUAGACUCCUAAAACAACUGAACAAAAUUUUCUACUAUUUUUCCAUGGGUUAUUUCAAAAAGAAAGUUUAGGAGGAGAUAAAAUAAGAGUAGAAUCAAAAUACAUAAUUCAAAUCAUAAAAUAAGAAAGUCUAAAUGGUCUGAAUUUUUUCAUGAGAACUUAUAAUACUUUUGUGACACUAGCAAAUGAUCUGAAUUUUCAUAACUAUUUUAAAAUGAAUUCUCAGACAAGCAUCUGUUAUCACAAAAUUAUUAUGCAGCUCUAAAACCAUAAAAUGGUUAUAGCAAAGUAGUCUAAAUGGGAAGGGAAAAAGUAUGCAGUAAAGUGCACACAUAAAUAACUACCUGAACUUGUUGGACAAGUUCCUGUUCAUCUGAAUCAGCAAGUGAAUCUGAGUGUCCUUCAAUAUGUUGGAGAAAACUGUAAUUUCAGAAUGGAUUCACAGUGUCUUCAAAUCAAUGGGAGAAAACUACUAUUUAACAAGGGGAAAUUAAAAAUUAAAUUUCUAAAGGAUUGCCUUGUAUCUUAUAAAAAAAUUUAAAGAACCUACAUAUAUAGAUGAUACUCUCCAAAGCCAUGUCUGAGGCAAAAGCCGGAUUGGAGAUCCCGUGUGUGCUGGCACGUGCAGAAGGCACACUUGACAUCGAUCUUCCUUCUCCACUGGCUUGGAUUUGGG
This 5719-nucleotide long non-coding RNA is filed under the name Glycine max (soybean). RNAcentral's name for it is "long non-coding RNA (GMAX_LNC003233)". The record is from RNAcentral. Lineage: Eukaryota; Viridiplantae; Streptophyta; Magnoliopsida; Fabales; Fabaceae.